This 905-nucleotide ribosomal RNA is filed under the name uncultured Cytophaga sp. RNAcentral's name for it is "bacterial SSU rRNA". It matches the Rfam family "Bacterial small subunit ribosomal RNA", at positions 10 to 914 of the family's 1533-position model. Lineage: Bacteria; Pseudomonadati; Bacteroidota; Cytophagia; Cytophagales; Cytophagaceae. The record is from RNAcentral.
AGUUGUAUCCUGGCUCAGGAUGAACGCUAGCGGCAGGCUUAACACAUGCAAGUCGAACGGUAAGGCCCUGCUUGCAGGGUACACGAGUGGCGCACGGGUGCGUAACGCGUAUGCAACCUACCUUUAACAUUGAGAUAGCCCUGAGAAAUUGGGAUUAAUAUCGAAUAAUAAUAUAUUACAGCAUUGUAUAAUAUUUAAAGUUCCGACGGUUAAAGAUGGGCAUGCGUAACAUUAGCUAGAUGGUAAGGUAACGGCUUACCAUGGCUACGAUGUUUAGGGGUUCUGAGAGGAUUAUCCCCCACACUGGUACUGAGACACGGACCAGACUCCUACGGGAGGCAGCAGUGAGGAAUAUUGGGCAAUGGACGCAAGUCUGACCCAGCCAUGCCGCGUGCAGGAAGACUGCCCUAUGGGUUGUAAACUGCUUUUAUAUACCAAGAAACCCCAUCACGUGUGAUGGCUUGACGGUAGUAUAUGAAUAAGGACCGGCUAACUCCGUGCCAGCAGCCGCGGUAAUACGGAGGGUCCGAGCGUUAUCCGGAUUUAUUGGGUUUAAAGGGUGCGCAGGUGGUACAAUAAGUCAGUGGUGAAAUCCCGAGGCUCAACCUCGGAACUGCCAUUGAUACUGUAGUACUCGAGUAUAGACGAAGUAGGCGGAAUGUAGCAUGUAGCGGUGAAAUGCUUAGAUAUGCUACAGAACACCGAUUGCGAAGGCAGCUUACUAGGCUAUUACUGACGCUNAUGCACGAAAGCGUGGGUAGCGAACAGGAUUAGAUACCCUGGUAGUCCACGCCGUAAACUAUGAUCACUCGAUGUUGGCGAUAUAUUGUCAGUGUCUAAGGGAAACCCGAUAAGUGAUCCACCUGGGGAGUACGAUCGCANGGUUGAANCUCAAAGGAAUUGAC